This 253-nucleotide ribosomal RNA is filed under the name uncultured bacterium. RNAcentral describes it as "partial 16S ribosomal RNA". It matches the Rfam family "Bacterial small subunit ribosomal RNA", at positions 524 to 776 of the family's 1533-position model. The record is from RNAcentral.
UACAUAGGGUGCGAGCGUUAAUCGGAAUUAUUGGGCGUAAAGCGCGCGUAGGCGGCUCUUCAAGUCGAUUGUGAAAUCCCCGGGCUUAACCUGGGAACUGCAGUCGAGACUGUCUAGCUAGAGUAUGGGAGAGGGAAGUGGAAUUUCAGGUGUAGCGGUGAAAUGCGUAGAUAUCUGAAGGAACAUCAGUGGCGAAAGCGACUUCCUGGACCAAUACUGACGCUCAUGUGCGAAAGCGUGGGGAGCAAACAGG